GAUAACAGGCUGAUCUUCCCCAAGAUUCCACAUCGACGGGAAGAUUUAGCACCUUGAUGUCGGCACUUUGCCACCUAGAGCUGUAGGUGGUUCCAAGGGUUGGGUUGUUUGCCCAUUAAAGCGGUACAUGAGGUGGGUUUAGAAUAUCAUGAGAUAGUUC
This is a ribosomal RNA of Sorghum bicolor (sorghum), 160 nucleotides long. It matches the Rfam family "Bacterial large subunit ribosomal RNA", at positions 2473 to 2632 of the family's 2925-position model. The record is from Rfam. NCBI's taxonomy places the organism in Eukaryota, Viridiplantae, Streptophyta, Magnoliopsida, Poales, Poaceae.